GCCUUAGUUUGCCUAUCCAUGGGUUAGAGCGUGGUGCCGAUAAUGCCAAGGUUGCAGGUUCGAUCCCCGUAUGGGACA
Podarcis lilfordi (Lilford's wall lizard) is the source of this 78-nucleotide non-coding RNA. The record is from the annotation of a GenBank genome assembly. NCBI's taxonomy places the organism in Eukaryota, Metazoa, Chordata, Lepidosauria, Squamata, Lacertidae.